UGGGGAAUAUUGGACAAUGGGCGCAAGCCUGAUCCAGCAAUGCCGCGUGAGUGAAGAAGGUCUUCGGAUUGUAAAGCUCUUUCGACGGGGACGAUGAUGACGGUACCCGCAGAAGAAGUCCCGGCUAACUUCGUGCCAGCAGCCGCGGUAAUACGAAGGGGGCUAGCGUUGCUCGGAAUGACUGGGCGUAAAGGGCGCGUAGGCGGUUUGUACAGUCAGAUGUGAAAUUCCUGGGCUCAACCUGGGGGCUGCAUUUGAUACGUGCAGACUUGAGUGAGGAAGAGGGUCGUGGAAUUCCCAGUGUAGAGGUGAAAUUCGUAGAUAUUGGGAAGAACACCGGUGGCGAAGGCGGCGACCUGGUCCUUGACUGACGCUGAGGCGCGAAAGCGUGGGGAGCAAAC
RNAcentral lists this ribosomal RNA (401 nucleotides) under uncultured bacterium. RNAcentral describes it as "bacterial SSU rRNA". It matches the Rfam family "Bacterial small subunit ribosomal RNA", at positions 355 to 773 of the family's 1533-position model. The record is from RNAcentral.